Molecule: non-coding RNA, 652 nt
Organism: Coturnix japonica (Japanese quail)
Lineage: Eukaryota; Metazoa; Chordata; Aves; Galliformes; Phasianidae
Source: RefSeq, a predicted model, not a curated record
UGGCAAGGAGUUGGUUUGUGACAUCAUAAAGCCAUGGAGGAUGUGACCCUAAGGAUGUCCCAUGACAACCAAAACAUGGCUGUGCUGUGCCAUGCUGCUAUCAUCUGACAAUUCCCUACUUGCCACCGAUGGGAUUCUGCACAGCUCUGCUUUCAAAGAGAUUUUCUGGAAGCUAUAUUAUUUAUGGAUGAUACUAAACUAGGAGGAGUGUUGACUCCCUUGAUGAUAGAGAGGUGCUGAACCAAAAUCUUGAUAAAUUCAAGGGAGGUUGCCACCUGCAUGAAGAAGAGCGAGUGCUGGAUUCUGCACCAGGUGAUAUUGUAAUUUGAGAUUGGAGCAAUUCACUAUAAAAUUUGAAGAUAAUUGAGAGAACAUCUUCAGGAAGAUAGCUUAAGUGUCUCUGCAUAAUGAAAUAUGACUGACUUGCGGAAUCAAACUCCAUAACCACAAAGGCUAUCAAGAUCUUUAGAACAGUUGGAUUCUGAAUAUAAAGAAAAUGUCUGAGUUUCCUAAUCACAAAGCAUAGUUCCUGGUUAAGUCAAGGCUAUCGUCAAGAUUAAAUGCUACAUAAUUUUCAGAAUAUUCAAUCUGGCCGCUACACUACAACUAAAUGAAAUGCAGUGAAUAAAUUAUCUUUCUUCAGCCAUGGAGU